UACGUAGGGUGCAAGCGUUAUCCGGAUUCACUGGGUUUAAAGGGUGCGUAGGCGGGUUGGUAAGUCCGUGGUGAAAUCUCCGAGCUUAACUCGGAAACUGCCGUGGAUACUAUCAAUCUUGAAUACUGUGGAGGUAAGCGGAAUAUGUCAUGUAGCGGUGAAAUGCUUAGAUAUGACAUAGAACACCGAUAGCGGAGGCAGCUUGCUACACAGUCAUUGACACUGAGGCACGAAAGCGUGGGGAGCAAACAGG
This 253-nucleotide ribosomal RNA is filed under the name uncultured bacterium. RNAcentral describes it as "partial 16S ribosomal RNA". It matches the Rfam family "Bacterial small subunit ribosomal RNA", at positions 524 to 776 of the family's 1533-position model. The record is from RNAcentral.